This 369-nucleotide ribosomal RNA is filed under the name uncultured organism. Its description in RNAcentral is "bacterial SSU rRNA". It matches the Rfam family "Bacterial small subunit ribosomal RNA", at positions 526 to 896 of the family's 1533-position model. The record is from RNAcentral.
CGUAGGGUGCAGGCGUUAAUCGGAAUUACUGGGCGUAAAGCGUGCGCAGGCGGUCUCUUAAGACAGGUGUGAAAUCCCCGGGCUUAACCUGGGAACUGCGCUUGUAACUGAGAGGCUAGAGUGUGGCAGAGGGGGGUGGAAUUCCACGUGUAGCAGUGAAAUGCGUAGAGAUGUGGAGGAACACCGAUGGCGAAGGCAGCCCCCUGGGCUAACACUGACGCUCAUGCACGAAAGCGUGGGGAGCAAACAGGAUUAGAUACCCUGGUAGUCCACGCCCUAAACUAUGUCAACUGGUUGUCGGGGAAGCAAUUCCUUGGUAACGAAGCUAACGCGUGAAGUUGACCGCCUGGGGAUACGGCCGCAAGGUUA